AAUGGGGGAAACCCUGAUGCAGCGACGCCGCGUGAGUGAUGAAGGCUUGCGGGUUGUAAAGCUCUGUUCUCAGGGAAAAACACAAUGAUUGUACCUGAGGAGAAAGGACCGGCUAACUUCGUGCCAGCAGCCGCGGUAAGACGGGGGGUCCUAGCGUUGCUCGGAAUUAUUGGGCGUAAAGCGGGCGUAGGUGGCUAUGUAAGUCAGGAGUGAAAGCCCUGGGCUCAACCCAGGAAGAGCUCUUGAUACUGCUUAGCUUGAAUGUGGGAGAGGGCAGUAGAAUUCCUGGUGUAGUGGUGAAAUACGUAGAUAUCAGGAGGAAUACCGGUGGCGAAGGCGGCUGCCUGGCCCAACAUUGACACUGAGGCCCGAAAGCGUGGGGAUCAAA
RNAcentral lists this ribosomal RNA (388 nucleotides) under uncultured bacterium. Its description in RNAcentral is "bacterial SSU rRNA". It matches the Rfam family "Bacterial small subunit ribosomal RNA", at positions 370 to 772 of the family's 1533-position model. The record is from RNAcentral.